RNAcentral lists this ribosomal RNA (1436 nucleotides) under uncultured organism. RNAcentral's name for it is "16S ribosomal RNA". It matches the Rfam family "Bacterial small subunit ribosomal RNA". The record is from RNAcentral.
CAGGCUUAACACAUGCAAGUCGAGGGGCAGCAUGGUCUUAGCUUGCUAAGGCCGAUGGCGACCGGCGCACGGGUGAGUAACGCGUAUCCAACCUGCCUUACACUCUUGGACAGCCUUCUGAAAGGGAGAUUAAUACAAGAUGUUAUCAUGAGUAAGCAUUUUCGCAUGAUUAAAGGUUUACCGGUGUAAGAUGGGGAUGCGUUCCAUUAGAUAGUAGGCGGGGUAACGGCCCACCUAGUCUUCGAUGGAUAGGGGUUCUGAGAGGAAGGUCCCCCACAUUGGAACUGAGACACGGUCCAAACUCCUACGGGAGGCAGCAGUGAGGAAUAUUGGUCAAUGGACGAGAGUCUGAGCCAGCCAAGUAGCGUGAAGGAUGAAGGUUCUAUGGAUUGUAAACUUCUUUUAUACGGGAAUAAACGAAUCCACGUGUGGAUUUUUGCAUGUACCGUAUGAAUAAGGAUCGGCUAACUCCGUGCCAGCAGCCGCGGUAAUACGGAGGAUCCGAGCGUUAUCCGGAUUUAUUGGGUUUAAAGGGAGCGUAGAUGGGUUGUUAAGUCAGUUGUGAAAGUUUGCGGCUCAACCGUAAAAUUGCAAUUGAUACUGGCAGUCUUGAGUACAGUUGAGGUAGGCGGAAUUCGUGGUGUAGGGGUGAAAUGCUUAGAUAUCACGAAGAACUCCGAUUGCGAAGGCAGCUUACUAACCUGUAACUGACAUUGAUGCUCGAAAGUGUGGGUAUCAAACAGGAUUAGAUACCCUGGUAGUCCACACGGUAAACGAUGAAUACUCGCUGUAGGCGAUAUACAGUCUGCGGCCAAGAGAAAGCAUUAAGUAUUCCACCUGGGGAGUACGCCGGCAACGGUGAAACUCAAAGGAAUUGACGGGGGCCCGCACAAGCGGAGGAACAUGUGGUUUAAUUCGAUGAUACGCGAGGAACCUUACCCGGGCUUAAAUUGCAACCGAAUAUGGCGGAAACGCUAUAGCUAGCAAUAGCGGUUGUGAAGGUGCUGCAUGGUUGUCGUCAGCUCGUGCCGUGAGGUGUCGGCUUAAGUGCCAUAACGAGCGCAACCCUUGCCGAUAGUUACUAACAGGUCAUGCUGAGGACUCUGUCGGGACUGCCAUCGUAAGAUGUGAGGAAGGUGGGGAUGACGUCAAAUCAGCACGGCCCUUACGUCCGGGGCUACACACGUGUUACAAUGGGGGGUACGGAGGGCUGCUACCACGCAAGUGGAUGCCAAUCCCAAAAACCUCUCUCAGUUCGGAUUGAAGUCUGCAACCCGACUUCAUGAAGCUGGAUUCGCUAGUAAUCGCGCAUCAGCCACGGCGCGGUGAAUACGUUCCCGGGCCUUGUACACACCGCCCGUCAAGCCAUGGGAGCCGGGGGUACCUGAAGUGCGUAACCGCAAGGAGCGCCCUAGGGUAAAACUGGUGACUGGGGC